RNAcentral lists this long non-coding RNA (370 nucleotides) under Carica papaya (papaya). RNAcentral's name for it is "long non-coding RNA (CPAP_LNC007341)". Lineage: Eukaryota; Viridiplantae; Streptophyta; Magnoliopsida; Brassicales; Caricaceae. The record is from RNAcentral.
UCAGAUAAGAGGGGUAACCGAUCCGGGGAUGGAUAAAAUCCUAAAACAUGGAUAAGACGAUGCAACAAGUAUUUUUAUGUCUUGAACAUCUCAGAAAGAAGUAAAGUGGAAACAACCUCAUUGUAUAUUGGAGACAAGACAAAAAUAUGGUUUCAUGGGUUAGCAAAUAAUCCAAAUAUGUUUGAAUGAGAAGUAUUCGAGGUGGAAUUGUGUAGAAGGUUUGGAGGAUUAGUCAAAAUUGAUAUUGUUGAAGAAUUUGACAAAUUAAUUUAGGAAGAUACCGUCUUCCAGUAUCAAAAAAAAUUUGAAGAAAUGAGGCCCCCUGUUAUUAACAAAGAACCCUGGACUUUUUAAAAAAUAUUUCAUUUCC